GGAGAGGUGGCUGAGUGGCCGAAAGCGCUCCCCUGCUAAGGGAGUAGGCCUCUAAAAAGGGCCUCGCGGGUUCGAAUCCCGCCCUCUCCGCCA
Molecule: transfer RNA, 93 nt
Filed under: Candidatus Moanibacter tarae
Lineage: Bacteria; Pseudomonadati; Verrucomicrobiota; Opitutia; Puniceicoccales
Description: Candidatus Moanabacter tarae tRNA-Ser
Rfam family: tRNA
About the family: Transfer RNA (tRNA) molecules are approximately 80 nucleotides in length. Their secondary structure includes four short double-helical elements and three loops (D, anti-codon, and T loops).
Source: RNAcentral